RNAcentral lists this unclassified non-coding RNA (803 nucleotides) under uncultured bacterium. RNAcentral's name for it is "partial contains 16S ribosomal RNA, 16S-23S ribosomal RNA intergenic spacer, and 23S ribosomal RNA". The stretch from base 198 to 271 matches the Rfam family "tRNA". The record is from RNAcentral.
GCGGCCUGGAUCCCCUCCUUUUAAAGGAUUUGGUUGUACUGGGCCGGACUUGUUUCGGAAGUGCGUCAGCCGUUCCAAAGAACAUUGCCGCCGUCCUCAUGUCCCUUCAUCCUGGAGAUCAGCUCGCAAGAGUUGAGCGCCUGAGCGGCCUUUCCGCAGUCCGCGGUCCUUUGUUGGGCCGUUCGGCAAUGCGGUGGGGGCCGGUAGCUCAGGUGGUUAGAGCGCACGCCUGAUAAGCGUGAGGUCGUAGGUUCAACUCCUACUCGGCCCACCAUAGCGCUUUAAUGUCUCACCUUACGGGGCCUUAGCUCAGUUGGGAGAGCGCUAGCUUUGCAAGCUUGAGGUCAUCGGUUCGAUCCCGAUAGGCUCCACCAGGUUCGUACGCAGCGGAUGCAAGGCAUUGGCGGGCGUGAACCUUGUGUCAACUUCUCCAGAGAUGAAGAUAACCGGUUUCGUCGGCACGCCGACGGAUGAGGGGCAUUUGGCCCCGUCUUUGACAUUGUGAAUGGGUUUAGAAAUCGAUGCCGUGGCGGCAUUGUUGCAUCUUAGGGUGCGGCAUGUCGUUCACAAUAAAACGAUUUUAUGCUGAGAAUAUUUUUAUCCGCAUUCAUGGCGACUGGGUUUUGCCGAGUGAACGUUCGGGGCUUGCUCCGGGCUCAUUCAGCCCUGUCGUUGGUGGUGUGGACUCUCAAGCGUGAGGUAAGGGCAUUUGGUGGAUGCCUUGGCAUGUACAGGCGAUGAAGGGCGUGGCACGCUGCGAUAAGCGUCGGUGAGGUGUGAGCAACCUUUGACCCGCAAGAGGG